Molecule: ribosomal RNA, 222 nt
Filed under: uncultured Glomeromycotina
Lineage: Eukaryota; Fungi; Glomeromycota
Description: partial 18S ribosomal RNA
Rfam family: Eukaryotic small subunit ribosomal RNA
Source: RNAcentral
GGAUCAAUUAAUCGGUCGUACCUAUGGUACGUACUGAUUUUAUUGGUUUCUCCCUUCUGACGAACCAUGAUGUCAUUAAUUUGGUGUCGUGGAGAAUCAGGACUGUUACUUUGGUAAAAAAAUUAGAGUGUUUAAAGCAGGCUAAUGCUUGAAUACAUUAGCAUGGAAUAAUGAAAUAGGACGUUUGAUCCUAUUUUGUUGGUUUCUAGGAUCCACGUAAUG